RNAcentral lists this ribosomal RNA (200 nucleotides) under uncultured bacterium. RNAcentral describes it as "partial 16S ribosomal RNA". It matches the Rfam family "Bacterial small subunit ribosomal RNA", at positions 8 to 214 of the family's 1533-position model. The record is from RNAcentral.
AGAGUUUGAUCCUGGCUCAGAUUGAACGCUAGCGGCAUGCUUAACACAUGCAAGUCGAACGGUAACAGACCUAGCUUGCUAGGUGCUGACGAGUGGCGGACGGGUGAGUAACGCGUAGGAAUCUACCUUGUAGAGAGGAAUAACCUGGGGAAACCCAGGCUAAUACCACAUAAGCCCUAAGGGGGAAAGCAGGGGACUGU